UGGUGUUGUUCUUUGAAGUGUGAAAUGCAAAGUAAUUGUGAUAAAGUCAAGAUAAAGUUCACUUUUAAACUGAACUAAAUAAGGUAUCUGAGAGACAACAAUGGUUAAAUGCAAUACAAUGUACAGGUUUUACUAGCGAAAUGAAAAUUUUCCUGUCCUGUCUGCUGUAAUCAUUUUAUAUCUGGAAAACCAGCCGACUUAAUCGAUAAUAACAAUCUCCAGAUUGGGUUCCUUCAAUAAAUAUGGUCUAUAAACACAAUGAAAUAAGUUCCCCAAAAUCUAAAAUGGAGUGGUAUCAAAGGAGAAUUAAAGGGAAAAAUAUUCAUAUUGAAAUUAUUUAUAAGGCACUGGACUGUCUUAAAUUCUACAAUAAUACUAGAAUCAGCUGAGAGAAGUGGUCUACAAAAAACCAGGAAGGAAACGGAAUAUGUGGCUAUGAAAGGCAAAAGAAAGGUUUACAAAGCAAAUGUGACAAAUUUUUUUGAAAUAUUUAGGA
This is a long non-coding RNA of Diabrotica virgifera virgifera (western corn rootworm), 496 nucleotides long. RefSeq lists it as uncharacterized. NCBI's taxonomy places the organism in Eukaryota, Metazoa, Arthropoda, Insecta, Coleoptera, Chrysomelidae. The record is from RefSeq and is a predicted model, not a curated record. The transcript has 3 exons.